Molecule: long non-coding RNA, 554 nt
Organism: Musa acuminata AAA Group (dessert banana)
Lineage: Eukaryota; Viridiplantae; Streptophyta; Magnoliopsida; Zingiberales; Musaceae
Exons: 3
Source: RefSeq, a predicted model, not a curated record
UGGCCUUCCCUCGUACGACCCCCACUCCGACAUCAGUAAGAAGCUGGUGCAGCGGGCGAGGCUUUCCGAGAACGCCGUGCACGUUAUCCCCGUCGUCGUCGUCCUCUGCGCCAUCAUCCUCUGGUUCUUCUCCGCCCACGAUUUCUUUACUCUGUCAACUUUGAUUGAUCAACGUUUCAUUCAAUUCACCCCACUGUAUCUUUUGUUGCAAUGGGUCUCCCUCACAUCACAAUCUGCUUGAUAGAACAGAGAUGGAAUCGAGAAUAUGAACGGCGAGGACUGCUGCUAUUCGGAUGUGUGAUCCCUGGAAAUCCGACAAAGAAAAUUAGGCAGACGAUUUGGUGGCUUCCAAGUAAACUAAAGAAGACUUGAAAGAUUAGGAUAUGUUCCAUCCUUCAGAAGAAGAAGAUUAGUCAUUUAGUUUGCUUCCUAUACAGAAUCCUCUGAAUAAAUUCCACGUAUUGGACACCCUUCAACUAAUGAGGAUUUAAUUCUUGUGGAACUUACUUCCUUUGUAAAUACUUUAGAGGAAUACAGAACCCCAUUUUGUUUUC